AUGAAGGUCUCCUCUACUGCACCUGACUGUCACCCCCCUCCCCAUCUGAGAUCAAAGAGGGAGUUGGACCCAGACAUAUACAGAGAGGGCCCGUCUUCCCUUGCUAAUGCCAGGUCUCGCCAGGAGAGUGGCAGAAAAAAGCUGCAGCUGAGGAGAGCACAACUGUCUGAUCCCAGCACACACAGGAAGCAACACCGUAUUAACAACAUUGGGAAGACCGACCGGCACAAGAUCCUUUCCAAGAGACGUCUGUAUUCCUGCUACAAUUUUCUGUAACGGUAAUUUGGAUAUGGAGCGGCUGAGUCUUUGGGGAGCUCCAGACUUCACAUUGACCCUGAGAUCAGGCAGCUCAAGUGUAGCAUAGAUGUAAGCUUUGCUGGUAACACAUUAGUUAGCUGAGUUGACCCUAUAUGUUCAAAGAGACUUUUUUGCAGCAGUGUAGAUGAAAUUAGGUCUGACUGGCAAACAGCUCCUGGAAUUCCUGGAAGAAGAAAACAUUCUCCACCUCUUCAGUUUUAUUUCAUUGAAAGAUUUGGAAAUGAGUUAAUACUGAUAAUGUCCUUAGCUUUGCUUCUUCUACUGUCAUAUGCACACCUCCCUGUUUAUCACAGCUUGUACGUAAGUGUUCCCAACUCUAUAAGCAGUAUGGGCAAUGUUGUAGAAAUGGAGGGAGAUGGUGACAUGAAGCUAGAUAGGUACUUUUUGUAAAGAGUGUUCAGGCUAUUUUAUUUCUGUUUUUAAUAUUGUCCACUACGUAAUAAUACUACAAGAAAGUAAAAAGUGCAUUACUGGGACAAAUCUCUAUCCAUUACUUGAUUUUGCAGCUUGAUAGGUGUUUUAAAGUGUCACUGAAAAUAAUCAAUUUGGUACCAUGUUACUUAGGCUGUUUUUUUAUAUCCUAAAUUGUUUUUUGUAUGUAAUAACAGUUGGAACAGGAUACUAAAUGUGGCAGUAAUAACAAUAUUGAUAAAAAUGUUUUUUCUUUUAAAAAGCAUUACUCAGCAGAUGACAGUAUGAUUGUUUUCAGUGUGAUAUGUGAAAACAAAAUGUGUUAAACCUUUUUCAACUAUGUUAAUAACUCUCACAUUUCCACCAAUAUGGGUAACUACAUUGUUCAUUACUGGCAUUAAUGGACUACAAUCAUCCUAUUAAAGUACAUUCCUAAUGUUUUGAUUACCAUUUACCUUCCUCUGAAUCACAGAAGACAACAGACAAAGCUGACAAAAUUCAGGAAUUAUUUCUUCUUCAAGAUCAAGUAUUACUGCUAUUUGUUUUAAGGUUGCAGAAUCACUUGAAUUGAUACCUGCUGUUUGUCCAAAAAUUCAACCAAGUUUUUUUGAGGCGAGUUUAUUACCAAAAAAUAAAAAAGUAAAUAUACAGAAAUUAUACGCUUUA
Molecule: long non-coding RNA, 1395 nt
Filed under: Struthio camelus australis
Lineage: Eukaryota; Metazoa; Chordata; Aves; Struthioniformes; Struthionidae
Description: lncRNA (ENSSCUG00000017171.1)
Source: RNAcentral